RNAcentral lists this unclassified non-coding RNA (360 nucleotides) under soil metagenome. Its description in RNAcentral is "partial contains 5.8S ribosomal RNA, internal transcribed spacer 2, and large subunit ribosomal RNA". The stretch from base 1 to 120 matches the Rfam family "5.8S ribosomal RNA", at positions 35 to 154 of the family's 154-position model. The record is from RNAcentral.
GAUGAAGAACGUAGCGAAAGGCGAUAAGUAAUGUGAAUUGCAGAAUUCAGUGAAUCAUCGAAUCUUUGAACGCACAUUGCGCCCGCCAGUAUUCUGGCGGGCAUGCCUGUCCGAGCGUCAUUUCAACCCUCGGGCCCCCCUCUGCGGGCGGCCCGGCGUUGGGGCUCAGGCGCCGUCUCUGCUCGGCGCCUGUCCCCUAAAUGCAGUGGCGGCCUCGCCGCUGCCUCCUCCGCGUAGUAGCACAAACCUCGCGGCUGGAAGGCGGCGCGGCCACGCCGUAAAACCCCCCAACUUUACCAAGGUUGACCUCGGAUCAGGUAGGAAUACCCGCUGAACUUAAGCAUAUCAAUAAGCGGAGGA